ACGCUGGCGGCAUGCCUUACACAUGCAAGUCGAACGGCAGCACGGGAGCAAUCCUGGCGGCGAGUGGCGAACGGGUGAGUAAAGUAUCGGAACGUGCCCAGUCGUGGGGGAUAACGUAGCGAAAGUUACGCUAAUACCGCAUACGAUCUAUGGAUGAAAGCGGGGGAUCGCAAGACCUCGCGCGAUUGGAGCGGCUGAUAUCAGAUUAGGUAGUUGGUGGGGUAAAGGCUCACCAAGCCGACGAUCUGUAGCUGGUCUGAGAGGACGACCAGCCACACUGGGACUGAGACACGGCCCAGACUCCUACGGGAGGCAGCAGUGGGGAAUUUUGGACAAUGGGCGCAAGCCUGAUCCAGCCAUGCCGCGUGCAGGAUGAAGGCCUUCGGGUUGUAAACUGCUUUUGUACGGAACGAAAAGGUUUGGCCUAAUAAGUUGAACUCAUGACGGUACCGUAAGAAUAAGCACCGGCUAACUACGUGCCAGCAGCCGCGGUAAUACGUAGGGUGCGAGCGUUAAUCGGAAUUACUGGGCGUAAAGCGUGCGCAGGCGGUUAUGUAAGACAGAUGUGAAAUCCC
This 575-nucleotide ribosomal RNA is filed under the name uncultured beta proteobacterium. RNAcentral describes it as "bacterial SSU rRNA". It matches the Rfam family "Bacterial small subunit ribosomal RNA", at positions 33 to 603 of the family's 1533-position model. The record is from RNAcentral. Lineage: Bacteria; Pseudomonadati; Pseudomonadota; Betaproteobacteria.